This 1357-nucleotide ribosomal RNA is filed under the name uncultured bacterium. Its description in RNAcentral is "bacterial SSU rRNA". It matches the Rfam family "Bacterial small subunit ribosomal RNA", at positions 28 to 1395 of the family's 1533-position model. The record is from RNAcentral.
GAUGAACGCUGGCGGCGUGCUUAACACAUGCAAGUCGAACGAUGAAGCGGUGCUUGCACCGUGGAUUAGUGGCGAACGGGUGAGUAACACGUGAGCAAUCUGCCCUUGACUCUGGGAUAACAGUUGGAAACAGCUGCUAAUACUGGAUACGAGCUGGAACCGCAUGGUUACUGGUUGGAAAGAUUUUUCGGUCAAGGAUGAGCUCGCGGCCUAUCAGCUUGUUGGUGAGGUAAUGGCUCACCAAGGCGUCGACGGGUAGCCGGCCUGAGAGGGUGACCGGCCACACUGGGACUGAGACACGGCCCAGACUCCUACGGGAGGCAGCAGUGGGGAAUAUUGCACAAUGGGCGGAAGCCUGAUGCAGCAACGCCGCGUGAGGGAUGACGGCCUUCGGGUUGUAAACCUCUUUUAGCAGGGAAGAAGCGGUAGUGACGGUACCUGCAGAAAAAGCACCGGCUAACUACGUGCCAGCAGCCGCGGUAAUACGUAGGGUGCAAGCGUUAUCCGGAAUUAUUGGGCGUAAAGAGCUCGUAGGCGGUUUGUCGCGUCUGCUGUGAAAACCCGAGGCUCAACCUCGGGCCUGCAGUGGGUACGGGCAGACUAGAGUGCGGUAGGGGAGAUUGGAAUUCCUGGUGUAGCGGUGGAAUGCGCAGAUAUCAGGAGGAACACCGAUGGCGAAGGCAGAUCUCUGGGCCGUAACUGACGCUGAGGAGCGAAAGGGUGGGGAGCAAACAGGCUUAGAUACCCUGGUAGUCCACCCCGUAAACGUUGGGAACUAGUUGUGGGGUCCAUUCCACGGAUUCCGUGACGCAGCUAACGCAUUAAGUUCCCCGCCUGGGGAGUACGGCCGCAAGGCUAAAACUCAAAGGAAUUGACGGGGACCCGCACAAGCGGCGGAGCAUGCGGAUUAAUUCGAUGCAACGCGAAGAACCUUACCAAGGCUUGACAUACACGAGAACGCUGCAGAAAUGUAGAACUCUUUGGACACUCGUGAACAGGUGGUGCAUGGUUGUCGUCAGCUCGUGUCGUGAGAUGUUGGGUUAAGUCCCGCAACGAGCGCAACCCUCGUUCUAUGUUGCCAGCACGUUAUGGUGGGAACUCAUGGGAUACUGCCGGGGUCAACUCGGAGGAAGGUGGGGAUGACGUCAAAUCAUCAUGCCCCUUAUGUCUUGGGCUUCACGCAUGCUACAAUGGCCGGUACAAUGGGCUGCGAUACCGUAAGGUGGAGCGAAUCCCAAAAAGCCGGUCCCAGUUCGGAUUGAGGUCUGCAACUCGACCUCAUGAAGUCGGAGUCGCUAGUAAUCGCAGAUCAGCAACGCUGCGGUGAAUACGUUCCCGGGUCUUGUACACACCGCCC